RNAcentral lists this ribosomal RNA (497 nucleotides) under uncultured bacterium. Its description in RNAcentral is "partial 16S ribosomal RNA". It matches the Rfam family "Bacterial small subunit ribosomal RNA", at positions 28 to 507 of the family's 1533-position model. The record is from RNAcentral.
GAUGAACGCUGGCGGCGUGCCUAAUACAUGCAAGUCGAGCGAACAGAUGAGGAGCUUGCUCCUCUGACGUUAGCGGCGGACGGGUGAGUAACACGUGGAUAACCUACCUAUAAGACUGGGAUAACUUCGGGAAACCGGAGCUAAUACCGGAUAAUAUAUUGAACCGCAUGGUUCAAUAGUGAAAGACGGUUUUGCUGUCACUUAUAGAUGUAUCCGCGCCGCAUUAGCUAGUUGGUAGGGUAACGGCUUACCAAGGCGACGAUGCGUAGCCGACCUGAGAGGGUGAUCGGCCAAACUGGAACUGAGCCACGGUCCAGACUCCUACGGGAGGCAGCAGUGGGGAAUAUGGGACAAGGGGCGGAAGCCUGACGCAGCCAUGCCGCGGGUGUGAAGAAGGUCUUCGGAUGGUAAAGCUCUGUAAGUUGGGAAGAAGGGAAGUAAGUUAAUACCUUGCUGUUUUGACGUUACCAACAGAAAAAGCACCGGCUAACUUCGUG